RNAcentral lists this unclassified non-coding RNA (148 nucleotides) under fungal sp. RNAcentral describes it as "partial internal transcribed spacer region". Lineage: Eukaryota; Fungi. The record is from RNAcentral.
AAGUCGUAACAAGGUUUCCGUAGGUGAAGGAUCGUUGGAGGCCCACACGGCCGACGACCGGGUCACUGGGCGCAAGCCCCCCUAUAACAAACGCUGCUAAGCGCGGCCGCGAUAAUACGCAGUCGACCAAAAACCGAUCUUGGUUCUC